CCCUUAGAUGUUCUGGGCCGCACGCGCGCUGCACUGAUGAAUUCAACGAGCUCCUAACCUAGGCCGAAGGGUCCGGGUAAUCUUUGAAAUUUCAUCGUGAUGGGGAUAGAUUAUUGCAAUUAUUAAUCUUCAACGAGGAAUUCCUAGUAAGCGCGAGUCAUCAGCUCGCGUUGAUUACGUCCCUGCCCUUUGUACACACCGCCCGUCGCUCCUACCGAUUGAAUGGUCCGGUGAAAUGUUCGGACCGCGACAAGGCGGACGGUUCGCUGUCAGCUUUGCUGCGGGAAGUUCAUUAAACCUUAUCAUUUAGAGGAAGGAGAAGUCGUANCA
Molecule: ribosomal RNA, 330 nt
Filed under: uncultured eukaryote
Lineage: Eukaryota
Description: partial 18S ribosomal RNA
Rfam family: Eukaryotic small subunit ribosomal RNA
Source: RNAcentral